This 73-nucleotide transfer RNA is filed under the name Escherichia coli 3-373-03_S1_C3. RNAcentral's name for it is "tRNA-Met". It matches the Rfam family "tRNA". From Rfam's summary of the family: Transfer RNA (tRNA) molecules are approximately 80 nucleotides in length. Their secondary structure includes four short double-helical elements and three loops (D, anti-codon, and T loops). The record is from RNAcentral. Lineage: Bacteria; Pseudomonadati; Pseudomonadota; Gammaproteobacteria; Enterobacterales; Enterobacteriaceae.
GGGUAUCGCCAAGCGGUAAGGCACAUCACUCAUAAUGAUGGGGUCACAGGUUCGAAUCCCGUCGUAGCCACCA